This 952-nucleotide ribosomal RNA is filed under the name human vaginal metagenome. Its description in RNAcentral is "bacterial SSU rRNA". It matches the Rfam family "Bacterial small subunit ribosomal RNA", at positions 16 to 942 of the family's 1533-position model. The record is from RNAcentral.
AUCCUGGCUCAGGACGAACGCUGGCGGCGUGCCUAAUACAUGCAAGUAGGACGCACAGUUUAUACCGUAGCUUGCUACACCAUAGACUGUGAGUUGCGAACGGGUGAGUAACGCGUAGGUAACCUACCUAUUAGAGAGGGAUAACUAUUGGAAACGAUAGCUAAUACCGCAUAACAGUAUGUAACACAUGUUAGAUGCUUGAAAGAUGCAAUUGCAUCGCUAGUAGAUGGACCUGCGUUGUAUUAGCUAGUAGGUAGGGUAAUGGCCUACCUAGGCAACGAUACAUAGCCGACCUGAGAGGGUGAUCGGCCACACUGGGACUGAGACACGGCCCAGACUCCUACGGGAGGCAGCAGUAGGGAAUCUUCGGCAAUGGGGGGAACCCUGACCGAGCAACGCCGCGUGAGUGAAGAAGGUUUUCGGAUCGUAAAGCUCUGUUGUUAAGGAAGAACGAGUGUGAGAAUGGAAAGUUCAUGCUGUGACGGUACUUAACCAGAAAGGGACGGCUAACUACGUGCCAGCAGCCGCGGUAAUACGUAGGUCCCGAGCGUUGUCCGGAUUUAUUGGGCGUAAAGCGAGCGCAGGCGGUUAGAAAAGUCUGAAGUGAAAGGCAGUGGCUCAACCAUUGUAGGCUUUGGAAACUGUUUAACUUGAGUGCAGAAGGGGAGAGUGGAAUUCCAUGUGUAGCGGUGAAAUGCGUAGAUAUAUGGAGGAACACCGGUGGCGAAAGCGGCUCUCUGGUCUGUAACUGACGCUGAGGCUCGAAAGCGUGGGGAGCGAACAGGAUUAGAUACCCUGGUAGUCCACGCCGUAAACGAUGAGUGCUAGGUGUUAGGCCCUUUCCGGGGCUUAGUGCCGCAGCUAACGCAUUAAGCACUCCGCCUGGGGAGUACGACCGCAAGGUUGAAACUCAAAGGAAUUGACGGGGGCCCGCACAAGCGGUGGAGCAUGU